RNAcentral lists this transfer RNA (72 nucleotides) under Camelus bactrianus (Bactrian camel). It matches the Rfam family "tRNA". From Rfam's summary of the family: Transfer RNA (tRNA) molecules are approximately 80 nucleotides in length. Their secondary structure includes four short double-helical elements and three loops (D, anti-codon, and T loops). Further hydrogen bonds mediate the characteristic L-shaped molecular structure. tRNAs have two regions of fundamental functional importance: the anti-codon, which is responsible for specific mRNA codon recognition, and the 3' end, to which the tRNAs corresponding amino acid is attached (by aminoacyl-tRNA synthetases). tRNAs cope with the degeneracy of the genetic code in two manners: having more than one tRNA (with a specific anti-codon) for a particular amino acid; and 'wobble' base-pairing, i.e. permitting non-standard base-pairing at the 3rd anti-codon position. The record is from Rfam by way of RNAcentral. RNAcentral also lists the same sequence under 1 other name. Lineage: Eukaryota; Metazoa; Chordata; Mammalia; Artiodactyla; Camelidae.
AAGGGUAUAGCUCAGUGGUAGAGCUCGUGUUUAGCAUACAUGAGGUCUUGGGUUUGAUCCCCAAUACCUUCA